This 97-nucleotide microRNA precursor is filed under the name Plutella xylostella (diamondback moth). RNAcentral describes it as "microRNA pxy-mir-8531 precursor". Lineage: Eukaryota; Metazoa; Arthropoda; Insecta; Lepidoptera; Plutellidae. The record is from miRBase by way of RNAcentral.
GGUUCUCAGCCUGCAUCUCCCAGUGUGACGGAUCUAUGUCAGAUAUUAACAUAGAGUACUUAUGUCACUACGGUGGUACGGUGCGGCGUUGUGAUUG